Molecule: long non-coding RNA, 2220 nt
Organism: Helianthus annuus (common sunflower)
Lineage: Eukaryota; Viridiplantae; Streptophyta; Magnoliopsida; Asterales; Asteraceae
Exons: 8
Source: RefSeq, a predicted model, not a curated record
GCACAGUUAGGUGGGACAAGAAAAACCCAUAAUCAUAUUUUGAAUUUCAAACCCACUCUCAGAUGAUAACCAGGAUCUCGAUCUGCUCUCUCUCUCUCUCUCUCUCUCCAUCAUUAAACCGAAGAAGAAAAAGAGCAUCAGUUUUUCCAGAUUAGAUCUGAAGGUACUCCGGCUAAGGUUUGACAAUCUUAGGAUACCUAGAGAAAACUUGUUGAAUUCAGGCUGCUACUAUGAUCUCAUCAUUUGCCGACCAUAGCUUCUCAAACGGCUGUAUAUUGGUGAAGAGAUUAACACAAGACAAUCUGACACAUCAGCUUCCACGCCAUCAUUUUGACCCGGUAAACAGUGAUGCAGAUUAGCAUGGAGGUUGUCUGACAAGAACUCACACUUUGAAUCCUUUUAGGGAGAAGGCAGGAAAUCCGAUGGUGAAGACGGAUUGGGCAAGCUAUAAACGGAGGUAAUGAUUCGGCUAGAACUUUCCAUACGGUGGUGACGAUGGUGGUCCUUAAGAAUCACGUAAAUAUUAUCGAUAGAUUCCAAGGGUUCCGGCGAAGACGAUGGUCCGCUUUCCGACAAUGGUUUCGACACCUCUGAUGAACUCCGGUGGAGGAGACUAGGGUUUCGUUGAAGGUAAAUAAAAAUAUGUUUUAUGAUACUUUGAAUUCAUCAUGUAUUUUGAUUUGCUUCGAUUCUGGUAACAAUAAAAUAAUAAUGUUUUCGCUCCCACUGGUUGCCCAUUGAUUGAAUGUUUUGACAUUGCUCAUGUUUCCGGUCAUAAAGUAUGGAGAGUUGAAAGGAAUCAUGCAAUAUAUUGUUGCAUAUUAUGAUAAAAAAUAAAAUGGAUGAAUUUUCUCCCAGAGCAACCCAGCCUCCCAUAUUAAAAACGAACAAUUCUGACCCGUACUGAACUCACUCGACCUACCCAUGUUUCUACCCUCUACUAUGUAAAAGUUUGUAUUUUUUAGACAUAAUGUUGAGAUAUAUCAUCCAGCUGAAGGAGAAGCAUAUAGUGUAUUUACAAGAGUUGAUGUUGAUGAAAAUGAGGAAGGAUUUGGUGAUAUCGACAAUGAGUUUGAUCUAUCAAAUGGUGUUUCUGACUCGCUUCUUUCUACACACCUUGAUUAUAGGCGGUGACCAUAUAAUGCAUACGAUUUUCCCACUUCAUGGUCAAGAGGAAAACACAUGUUAUGCAGACUAUUCAAUAUCUCUUGGAACAUCUUAAGUGGACCUGGCAAACGGGUCGGGUCGGGUCAUGAGUCAAAACCGAUUCGGGUCAAAACGGGGUAAUUAAAAAGGGGUUGUUUUGGUUCGGGUCGAAACGGGUUCCGGUCGGAACGGUUAAAAAUGUUUUUUUAAACAGAUUGUACAUCAAGGGUCAAUUUUUUUCGGUUCGAAACGGUACUGGUCGAAACGGUCCGCGUCGAAACGGUUCGAUUCGAAACGGUACGGGUGAUCACUUCAACCAUAGAGACGAGCCGGUUCACGGUGGGCCAGUUUAUAUAUGGAUCCAAUAUGUAUCUACAAGAAAGGAUAUGGAGAUGGAUUAGAGAAGUGGAAGAGUGGUUAGCAGCUAAUAAUGGCACAUCUGUAAAAUGUGUAAUUAUUGAUAUGACUGGCGUAUGCACGAAUAGGCAUGGCUAAAGACGCUGCAAAAGCUGCAUCACAGAGUAAAGAUGGAGAGUUAUUGGAGCGCCUUAAAAACACUUGGCAACAGGGUCUCUGAAGAAGAGGUGUUUACAAGGAAGAUGAGUCAUGUGAUACGAUUAUAACUAGCAUCAGAAGAAGAUAUGGCGCUGCUAAAAGUUUUAAGUUCUUUUCAAACUUUAGUAAAAAUAGGGAUGACAAACGAACAUUGAUAAGAUCUGUGUCAAUCUUCCCAAUUUCAUCUUGUUUAAAUUCAAGAAGAUUGGAACUUGAGGCAAAAAGAAGAAUACGUGUAGCAACAUCUAAGUUGCUGGCUAGGGGCACUCAAAAUAAGCAUCUGAGUGCUUGUGUAUAUUUCAUCGGAUGAUGGAGUCGUUUGCUUCUGUACAUUACAAGUGCGUGUAGCAAAAAAUUACAUGCAAGCAAAACUUAAUUGAAAACAUGUUUUUAUACUUCAUAACUACAGACUUAGGCGGUCAAACUUCUCCUUUUUAAACAUAUCCUCUUGCAUGUGAUGAACACCAAUCGUACUUGUGCUUGAUGAUUUAUCUUACAUUUCCUAUUUUAUCUUUUUUU